RNAcentral lists this long non-coding RNA (493 nucleotides) under Homo sapiens (human). RNAcentral's name for it is "non-protein coding lnc-UBAP2-6:2". The record is from RNAcentral. Lineage: Eukaryota; Metazoa; Chordata; Mammalia; Primates; Hominidae.
ACUCAUUCCUUUUUUUUCCUUUCUCUCCCACUGUCAGACAGCAUGGCCUGUACCGUGCAUUCCUUCCUUUGGAGAAAUGACGGUAGGUUUCCACAUCUGUGUAGUAUCUCCUGCUCUGGAGAUCACCCUGAGCCCUUGCAUCUCCUACCAGGUCAGAGUGGGGAGCUGGUGUUAGCUGUGGGAUUCACUGCAGCGUCCUACCACAAAGGCAAAGAAGAUGAAAAUGCAGCGUGCAGUGCUGGGCUUGAUUCCCAAGUCGCAGUCGGGCUCCCGCUAUGGGUAGGAGGCUUUACACUCAGCCUGGGUCAGCACCGGAGCAUCCAGGCACUUCAGCUCGUCUGGGUAGUCAGCUGUGAGGAUCAGGAAGAGAUCAAAGAAAGUAGAAAUGUGGGUGAGGCCAGAGAAGGAGACAAUAAUCUGGGAUGGAACAUUGAAGAGGAACACUGCCUCUGGAGAGGACUCCAAAACGUGGUUGAGUUUCUGCAGGAUAUGC